AUCGUUCAUCCUAUUCUUGGGACGGAAGUAAGUAAUAAUACUGAAGGAACGCAUC
The submitters of this non-coding RNA (55 nucleotides) gave its source as unclassified sequences. The record is from Rfam.